This 75-nucleotide ribosomal RNA is filed under the name uncultured bacterium. RNAcentral describes it as "partial 16S ribosomal RNA". The record is from RNAcentral.
CCGGGUCGGUAACCCUUAAAGGGUCCGGUAAACCGUAACGGACGACCGGCCUAAGGUAAACUGGUGACUGGGGCU